Molecule: RNA transcript, 1751 nt
Organism: Musa acuminata AAA Group (dessert banana)
Lineage: Eukaryota; Viridiplantae; Streptophyta; Magnoliopsida; Zingiberales; Musaceae
Gene name: putative pentatricopeptide repeat-containing protein At5g59200, chloroplastic
Exons: 2
Source: RefSeq, a predicted model, not a curated record
GCAUUCAUAUUCUUCAUGUCGAGCUUAUCCUCCUUUGCGCAUCCCUUGACCUCCAUUCUUCAGCAGAAACGCGAUUCCAACACGAAUCACGAUUCCUAUAGUCGAUCUCGCCCCAGUGCAGACCACCUGCCCGUCGGCGCCAGCACUAGAGCAGUAGAAGACCAAGCCUGCUCCUUGCUUCGCUCCUGUGUCUCCUUCCCCCGCCUCACCCAAAUCCAUGCCCACUUCGUCCGCCACGCCAUUUACUCUAGCAACCUCGUCGCCGCGAAGCUCGUCUCCGCCUGCUUCUCCCUCGACCGCCCGUCCUACGCCGACCGGGUCUUCGCUCAUGUCCCCCGCUAUGUUGGCCUCGGCCGCCACCGCAAUGCCUUGCUCGUUUAACGCCGGAUGCUCGACUGCGGUUGCCGCCUGGACAGCUUCUCCUUCACUUCCGCCCUCAAAGCUUGCUCGAAUCUUCUCGCCCUCGAGGAAGGGAUGGCCCUGCAUGGUCAUGUCCUGAAGUUGGGCCUGGGCGCCGACAUCUACAUUGCGACGUCGCUGAUGGACCUUUAUGGGAUGUGUUCUCAAGCACUGGAUGCUCGUAAGGUGUUCGAUCACAUGCCUGAUAAAGACGUUGUGGCUUGGAAUGUGAUGCUCUCUAGCUACGCUUGCUUAGGUAUGAUGCGGCUCGCAGAACAGUUGUUUGAGGAGAUUCCCCUGCGAAAUGUUAACUCUUGGACUGCGUUGAUCUGUGGGUUCUUGGAAUGUGGAGAUUUAAGCGAAUCAAUGAUCGCCUUUCACCGAAUGCAGCUACAUGGUUUGAAGCCUGACAAAGUCAUGGUUGUCACAAUGUUAUCUGCUAUUGCUGAUCUAGGAAUGCUGGAUUCAGGUAAGUGGUUUCAUGAGUAUGUGAAGAAGAAUGAGAUUGCAAUUGAUGCUUAUGUUGGCAAUGCACGCGUAGAUAUGUAUGCUAAAUGCGGCAGUAUCCAGGAUGCCAGACUAGUGUUCGAUGAGAUAAUUCGAAAAAAUAUUUCAUGCUACAAUUCUAUGAUCUUCGGACUGGCUGCUCAUGGACUAGGGGAGGAAGCUCUUGAAAUAUUAACAGAUGCUGAGAGAACUGGGAUUGGAAUAGAUGACAUUACUAUGACUGCGGUUCUAACUGCAUGCAGCCACUCUGGCUUGGUCGAGGAAGGUCUGAAGUACUUUAAAACAAUGCAAAAUGUUUAUGGCAUUGAGCCUAAGAAGGAACAUUAUGGAUGCAUUGUUGAUCUUCUGGGAAGAGCUGGAAGAUUUGAUGAGGCAAUGCAGAUCAUAGAGAUCACAGAGGAUGAUUCUUUCAUAUUGGGAACAUUAGCUGCAGCUUGUAGGACUCAUGGAAAUCUUGAGUUAGCCAAUGAACUAGUAAAAAACAUCUCCAAGUUGGAUCCAACAAAUUGUGGGUUUCUAGUGUUGCAAGCUAAUGCUGAAGCAGCUAGUGGGAGGUGGGAAGAGGCUGUAAAUGUUAGAAGACUGAUAAAGGAUACUAGAAUCAAGAAGAGGCCUAGUUGCAGUUGGAUUGAAGUGGGAAAUGAAGUGCACAAGUUUGUUGCUAGUGACAACUCUCAUCUAAAUUCAGUAAAGAGUGCGAGGUAUAUAUGUUGAAUAGUGGCACAGGAAGAAUGGUUUAGACAUUGAAUUUAUUGACAAAUAAAGCAGACCAUGUUAACAACACCUCAAAGCGUUAGAACUUAGAAGAUUAGCCAAGUGAUCUGUGACACUGUUUGCUUCCUCAG